Long non-coding RNA from Oncorhynchus keta (chum salmon), 1324 nucleotides. RefSeq lists it as uncharacterized. Lineage: Eukaryota; Metazoa; Chordata; Actinopteri; Salmoniformes; Salmonidae. The record is from RefSeq and is a predicted model, not a curated record. The transcript is spliced from 3 exons.
AUUGGACAUAUCAAUUAGGGUAUUUAGCGGCAAAACAAAAUCUGCAAUCUGAAAAUCAUUCUGUGGCGACACUGUAGUUGGUCAGUACAGUGGAGAGGUACAGUAUAUUGAACAUGAUUUUGCGUACCGACAGAUACAUCUUGUUGACAGAGAGGUUUGGGAAACACUCUCCUAAUCUACCCUCUGUUAUACUGUUAAUGUUGACUCUAUACUGGCCAUACUGGUACCCGCUACCCAGUACUCACCACACUGUAGCUACCCAGUACCCACCACACUGUAGCUACCCAGUACUCACCACACUGUAGCUACCUGGUACUCACCACACUGUAGCUACCCAGUACCCAGUACUCACCACACUGUAGCUACCCAGUACUCACCAAACUGUAGCUACCCAGUACCCAGUACCCACCACACUGUAGCUACCCAGUACUCACCACACUUUAGCUACCUGGUACUCACCACACUGUAGCUACACAGUACCCAGUACUCACCACACUGUAGCUACCCAGUACCCAGUACUCACCACACUGUAGCUACCAAGUACCCAGUACUCACCACACUGUAGCUACCCAGUACUCACCACACUGUAGCUACCCAGUACCCAGUACUCACCACACUGUAGCUACCCAGUACUCACCACACUGUAGCUACCCAGUACCCAGUACUCACCACACUGUAGCUACCCAGUACCCAGUACUCACCACACUGUAGCUACCCAGUACUCACCACACUGUAGCUACCCACUACCCAGUACUCACCACACUGUAGCUACCCAGUACUCACCACACUGUAGCUACCCAGUACCCACCACACUGUAGCUACCCAGUUCCCAGUACUCACCACACUGUAGCUACCCAGUACUCACCACACUGUAGCUAACCAGUACCCAGUACUCACUACACUGUAGCUACCCAGUACCCAUCACACUGUAGCUACCCAGUACCCACCACACUGUAGCUACCCAGUACUCACUACACUGUAGCUACCCAGUACCAUCACACUGUAGCUACCCAGUACCCAUCACACUGUAGCUACCCAGUACCCAGUACCCACCACACAGUAGCUACCCAGUACCCACCACACUGUAGCUGCCCAGUACCCAGUACUCACUACACUGUAGCUACCCAGUACCCAGUACCCAUCACACUGUAGCUACCCAGUACCCAUCACACUGUAGCUACCCAGUACUCACCACACUGUAGCUACCCAGUACCCAGUACUCACCACACUGUAGCUACCCAGUACUCACCACACUGUAGCUACCCAGUACCCACCACACUGUAGCUGCCCAGUAUUCAGUCCCACCACACUGUAGCUACCCAGU